RNAcentral lists this ribosomal RNA (98 nucleotides) under uncultured bacterium. RNAcentral's name for it is "partial 16S ribosomal RNA". It matches the Rfam family "Bacterial small subunit ribosomal RNA", at positions 1386 to 1482 of the family's 1533-position model. The record is from RNAcentral.
CACACCGCCCGUCACGCCAUGGGAGCCGGGAGUGCCCGAAGUCCGUGUGCUAACCGCAAGGAGGCAGCGGCCUAAGGCAAAGCUCGGUGACUGGGGCG